CUGACCGUAAACGAUGCCAACUAGCGAUCCGCCGGUGGCUCUCAGGCCCUGGUGGGGAGCUUCCCGGAAACGAAAGUCUUCCGGUUCCGGGGGAAGUAUGGUUGCAAAGCUGAAACUUAAAGGAAUUGACGGAAGGGCACCACCAGGAGUGGAGCCUGCGGCUUAAUUUGACUCAACACGGGAAAACUCACCCGGCCCGGACACCGUAAGGAUUGACAGAUUGAUAGCUUUUUCAUGAUUCGGUGGUUGGUGGUGCAUGGCCGUUCUUAGUUCGUGGAUCGAUUUGUCUGGUUUAUUCCGAUAACGAGCGAGACUCCAGCCUACUAAAUAGUGCGGACAUUGCCUUUGUGUUUGUCACUUCUUAGAGGGAUUGGCUGCGUCUAGCGGCACGAAACGGAGCAAUAACAGGUCUGUGAUGCCCUUAGAUGUCCGGGGCUGCACGCGCGCUACACUGGCAAAGGCAGCGUGCUUGUCCGUCUCCGAAAGGAGCCGGUAAACCCUUGAAAAUUUGCCGUGAUUGGGAUCGGAAAUUGCAAUUAUUUUCCGUGAACGAGGAAUUCCUAGUAAGUGCGAGUCAUCAGCUCGCGUUG
RNAcentral lists this ribosomal RNA (590 nucleotides) under Criconemoides sp. yo XZ-2021. RNAcentral describes it as "SSU rRNA". It matches the Rfam family "Eukaryotic small subunit ribosomal RNA", at positions 1026 to 1643 of the family's 1831-position model. The record is from RNAcentral. Lineage: Eukaryota; Metazoa; Nematoda; Chromadorea; Rhabditida; Criconematidae.